This 253-nucleotide ribosomal RNA is filed under the name uncultured bacterium. Its description in RNAcentral is "partial 16S ribosomal RNA". It matches the Rfam family "Bacterial small subunit ribosomal RNA", at positions 524 to 776 of the family's 1533-position model. The record is from RNAcentral.
UACGUGGGGGGCAAGCGUUGUUCGGAAUUACUGGGCGUAAAGGGCUCGUAGGUGGCCAACUAAGUCAGACGUGAAAUCCCUCGGCUUAACCGGGGAACUGCGUCUGAUACUGGAUGGCUUGAGUUCGGGAGAGGGAUGCGGAAUUCCAGGUGUAGCGGUGAAAUGCGUAGAUAUCUGGAGGAACACCGGUGGCGAAGGCGGCAUCCUGGACCGAUACUGACGCUGAGGAGCGAAAGCCAGGGGAGCAAACGGG